This 253-nucleotide ribosomal RNA is filed under the name uncultured bacterium. RNAcentral's name for it is "partial 16S ribosomal RNA". It matches the Rfam family "Bacterial small subunit ribosomal RNA", at positions 524 to 776 of the family's 1533-position model. The record is from RNAcentral.
UACGUAGGGUGCGAGCGUUGUCCGGAAUUAUUGGGCGUAAAGAGCUCGUAGGCGGUCUGUCGCGUCUGCUGUGAAAUCCCGAGGCUCAACCUCGGGCUUGCAGUGGGUACGGGCAGGCUAGAGUGCGGUAGGGGAGAAUGGAACUCCUGGUGUAGCGGUGGAAUGCGCAGAUAUCAGGAAGAACACCGGUGGCGAAGGCGGGUCUCUGGGCCGAUACUGACGCUGAGGAGCGAAAGCGUGGGGAGCGAACAGG